GUAACACGUAGUCAACCUGCCCUGGAGACAUGGACAACCCCGGGAAACUGGGAUUAAUCCGUGAUAGGUCAUCUCAUCUGGAAGGAGAGAUGGCUUAAAGGGGUACGCGGGCUUCUUCUGCGUAUUCGCUCCAGGAUGGGACUGCGUCCGAUCAGGCUGUUGGCGGGGUAAUGGCCCACCAAACCUGUAACCGGUACGGGCCUUGAGAGAGGUGGCCCGGAGAUGGACACUGAGAGAAGGGUCCAGGUCCUACGGGGCGCAGCAGGCGCGAAACCUUCGCAAUGCGCGAAAGCGUGACGAGGUUAAUCCGAGUGGCCCCCGCUGAGGGGGUCUUUUGUCAGCUGUAAAUAGGCGGGCGAAUAAGGGGAGGGCAAGCCUGGCGUCAGCCGCCGCGGUAAUACCAGCUCCUCGAGUGGUCGGGGCGAUUAUUGGGCCUAAAGCAUCCGUAGCCGGUUCCGUAGGUCCUCUGUUAAAUCC
This 477-nucleotide ribosomal RNA is filed under the name uncultured archaeon. Its description in RNAcentral is "bacterial SSU rRNA". It matches the Rfam family "Archaeal small subunit ribosomal RNA", at positions 93 to 552 of the family's 1478-position model. The record is from RNAcentral.